Molecule: ribosomal RNA, 445 nt
Filed under: uncultured bacterium
Lineage: Bacteria
Description: bacterial SSU rRNA
Rfam family: Bacterial small subunit ribosomal RNA
Source: RNAcentral
GUAAGGAAUAUUGGUCAAUGGACGCAAGUCUGAACCAGCCAUGCCGCGUGAGGGAUGAAGGUCCUCUGGAUUGUAAACCUCUUUUAUCUGUGAAUAAACGUUCCGUUUCUACGGAAUUUGAAGGUAAUAGAUGAAUAAGCACCGGCUAACUCCGUGCCAGCAGCCGCGGUAAUACGGAGGGUGCAAGCGUUAUCCGGAUUUACUGGGUUUAAAGGGUGCGUAGGUGGGUUGGGAAGUCAGUGGUGAAAUACUUUCGCUUAACGAAGGAACUGCCAUUGAUACUAUCAAUCUUGAAUGUAGUGGAGGUAGGCGGAAUGCGUCAUGUAGCGGUGAAAUGCUUAGAUAUGACGCAGAACACCAAUUGCGAAGGCAGCUUGCUACACUACUAUUGACACUGAGGCACGAAAGCGUGGGGAUCAAACAGGAUUAGAAACCCUGGUAGUCC